CUCAUUUGUCCUUGGGGAACACUUGUCGGGUAGAAGAAAAAGAAACCCCAAAAUAUAAAAGAAAUGGGGAGGUAAAAGUAAACAAAGAUAAUAUUAUGU
This is a non-coding RNA of Caenorhabditis elegans, 99 nucleotides long. Lineage: Eukaryota; Metazoa; Nematoda; Chromadorea; Rhabditida; Rhabditidae. The record is from Ensembl.